This 595-nucleotide long non-coding RNA is filed under the name Phasianus colchicus (ring-necked pheasant). RNAcentral describes it as "lncRNA (ENSPCLG00000002620.1)". Lineage: Eukaryota; Metazoa; Chordata; Aves; Galliformes; Phasianidae. The record is from RNAcentral.
AGUGGCUUGUGAUAGCAAUGGUAAUGGGAGGACGGUUGAACUCGAUGGUCUUGCAGGUCAUUUCCAACCUUGUGAUUCUAUGAUUCUAUGAUUAUGAUUCUAAGCUUUUGCAGUCAGAUUCAUCUGCAUCACAAACAGCAAGCCUUUGCUUGUUGCCCUACUAAUGUCUUUUUUGGCAGGUCUGUAGUUGGUAAUCCAAAGGGGAUUAAAACAGCAGAAGCAGUACACCUUGAGGGCUGCAGACAUCCAGUGACUGACGUUAUUUCAGGCAGUGCUCUUUAAAAGCAGAGAAAAAUGGAACAGAAAUCAGUGUACAUGGAAAUAUUCUAGAAUACAAUGUUGUUUUCAAUAAUGUAUGCUAGGAAGUAGUACAAUCCUCCUUUUUUUGAAAGUGGAAGACAGGCGUCAUAGUUCAGAGAAGAGGCUGGAGGCAUGGCAGAAGGAGACAGAAGAUUUUCAGGAAGUUGCUAAUGGGCCAAAGUAUUGUUUUUCCCUUUUCUGUUCUCAUUAGAAACUAAAAACUCUAAGAAAGAUACUUUAAAAAAAACAAGUGACAUUUUUUGGAACAUUUAUGUGCAUUUUUCUUGAGUUCUCU